GAUGAACGCUGGCGGCGUGCCUAAUACAUGCAAGUCGAGCGAAUGGAUUAAGAGCUUGCUCUUAUGAAGUUAGCGGCGGACGGGUGAGUAACACGUGGGUAACCUGCCCAUAAGACUGGGAUAACUCCGGGAAACCGGGGCUAAUACCGGAUAACAUUUUGAACCGCAUGGUUCGAAAUUGAAAGGCGGCUUCGGCUGUCACUUAUGGAUGGACCCGCGUCGCAUUAGCUAGUUGGUGAGGUAACGGCUCACCAAGGCAACGAUGCGUAGCCGACCUGAGAGGGUGAUCGGCCACACUGGACUGAGACACGGCCCAGACUCCUACGGGAGGCAGCAGUAGGGAAUCUUCCGCAAUGGACGAAAGUCUGACGGAGCAACGCCGCGUGAGUGAUGAAGGCUUUCGGGUCGUAAAACUCUGUUGUUAGGGAAGAACAAGUGCUAGUUGAAUAAGCUGGCACCUUGACGGUACCUAGCCAGAAAGCCACGGCUAACUACGUGCCAGCCGCCGCCGUAA
This 514-nucleotide ribosomal RNA is filed under the name uncultured bacterium. RNAcentral's name for it is "partial 16S ribosomal RNA". It matches the Rfam family "Bacterial small subunit ribosomal RNA", at positions 28 to 523 of the family's 1533-position model. The record is from RNAcentral.